AUAUAUAGACGUAAUUCAUAAUAAUCUUAUAUCGCUCAAGUCUCACAAUCAACCUUCAUUUUCCCCAUAGUAUAGCAAAUGGAUCUUUUUCAUCCAUUCCCACCAAUUCCAGUCGUAAUUGCAACAGUAUUUGCCUUUCCUCUCUUUCUUUUCUCACUUCUAUGGAUAUCAAAGAGUGUCAAAAACAGAGACAAAAGGCGAGCAGCACCUGAAGCUGGCAGCUCAUGGCCUGUAAUCGGCCAUCUCCACCUCCUAGGAGGGCCGCAACCACCCCACAUUGUUCUCGGAGACAUGGCAGAGAAAUACGGUCCUAUCUUCACCAUCAAGAUGGGUGUUUAUAGAGCUUUGGUUGUCAACAAUUGGGAAACUGCCAAAGAGUGUUUAACCACAAACGACAAAGCUUUUGCCUCUCGUCCGAAGACUCUUGCUAUGGAGCUCUUGAGCUAUGACCACGCCAUGUUUGGCUUCGCCCCAUAUGGACCUUACUGGCGCCAAAUGCGUAAAGUCGCCACUCUUGAGCUCCUCUCGAGCUACCGCCUCGAUAGGCUCAAACAUGUCCGACAAUCUGAGAUAAAAACAUCCCUGAAAGAGUUGUACCAACACUGGAGCGAGAACAAAGACAGCUCUGAUAAGGUUUUGGUGGAGAUGAAGGCAUGGUUUAGAGAUGUAACUCUUAACGUGAUUCUUAGGAUGAUUGUUGGGAAGCGAAUUCCGAGUUCCGACAGUGAUGCAGAGGGCGAGAGAUGGAAAGACGCGUUGCGGGACUUCUUUGACUUGAGUGGGAAGUUUGUGAUAUCUGAUGCGUUGCCGUUUUUAAAAUGGUUGGACAUCGGGGGAGACGAGAGGUUCAUGAAGAAGGUAACAAAAGAACUAGACGAAGUUGCAGAGGGAUGGUUACAAGAUCACAAGCGAAUGAAAGCUUCAGGUAAUCAGGAGAGCGACCAAGAUUUUAUGGAUGUGAUGUUUUCAAUCCUCAGUGACGUUGGCAAGCAUGAUGCUGAUACCAUCAACAAAGCCACCUGUCUGGUACGAAUUUGUCACCCAAACUUUUAUUUGCCUAACAUUGUUAGUACUUACUAAUUGAUUUGUGUUGUAGGCCAUCCUUAAGUCCAAAAAUGGAAAUAAAAUAGAUGUCGAGGCUAUUAAGGCUUUGUUUAAAAUUCUUAUUUCUUGAUGUAAAAUCUUAUGUGCAAUUUCAUUCUGAAGUAUAAAUCAACCUUCUUGCAGGCUAUGAUCUUAGCAGCCUCUGAUACAACAAUGGUUACAUUGACAUGGGCUUUGUCUUUACUACUUAACAACCGCGGUGCACUGAAAAAAGCACAAGAAGAAUUAGACAUCCAUGUUGGUAGAGACAAACUAGUUGAAGAAUCAGACAUUAAAAAGUUAGUCUACCUUCGAGCAAUCCUCAAGGAAACGCUGCGUUUAUACCCUGCUGGACCACUUUCAUUGCCGCAUGAGUCCAUGGAAGACUGCAUCGUUAGUGGCUACCAUAUCCCGGCAGGCACACGACUUCUCAUCAAUGUUUACAAAAUUCAUCGUGAUCCACGUGUAUGGUCGGAUCCUUGCGAAUUUCAGCCAGAAAGAUUCCUAACUACCUACAAGGAUUUUGAUGUUAGAGGCCAGAAUUUCGAGCUGAUCCCAUUUGGAAGCGGUAGAAGAAUGUGUCCUGGAGUUUCCUUUGCGCUCCAAGUGUUGGAGCUGACGCUUGCUAAUCUACUGCAAGGGUUCGAGUUAGGAACCCCUUUAGAUGAACCGGUUGAUAUGAGUGAAGCAAUGGGGCUCACAAACUUGAAGGCUUCUCCCCUCGAAGUCUUGAUUACUCCACGUCUUCCUGCUGUUUGCUAUUAGCUUGUAUGAUUUUGCAACAAUAAAUGAACUUCAGCUUAAUUUUAGGCUGUUCUAGUAUAAUAGCAUUUUGUAACUUUAUGAAUAAUGAAACCUUGUUUGUUCAAGCUCUGAACAAUGGUUUGUCAGUCAGAGCAAAUAAACAGAGGCUCACUACGAGAAUACAAUACACAAUUUACUAGCUACAAUUGUAAAGCGUAAUAUCACAACUACUCAGUGCCAAGGUUAGCAAGAACCAAGCAAGAUCUGAAAACAGAACUUCCAGUUCUUGCAAAACUUGGGUCCCACUUGCAUGAACAACUCUUACAGUAACACAGCAAAGAGGUACAUAGGAAUAUUUCAUGGAUGUGAUGCUGUCAAUUGUCACCGACACUGAGGUGCACGAUGUUGAUACCAUGAAAACAAAGCGACGUCCCUGGCAUGAACUAAUUUGAUUUGUUAACUAGUAACUUUCCCUUAUCGUUUAAACAUUUUCAGCCAAAUUAAUAGGUAGAGCAGUAAGUAUUUAGUGCAGGGUAGCGAGCAGCCUAGCAUCACAUACGUCCAAAAUGGAAAAGGAUAAACAAAUUAGACAGUUGAACAAUGAACACAAAAGACCUGGGAAAAAAUGCUAGAAUCUAGAAUCACUUCUGUUCCAAACCCCAGCUGAGCUAAUGGUAGGUUCAUGCAUGAUAAAUUGCACGUAAAUUAGUUCAUAAUGCUUUACCCUUGACUGCUUGUCAAAAUCCACAAUGGAAUAUAAACUUAAGUUGAUUUAUGAAAGUAAUGAGUAAUAUUUUUUUCUAGUUCUUUCCCUCUCUUCUAGUUCUUUCUUUAUUUUUUUCUUUACUCCAAUUAUCCGGAAUGGCACAAGUGAACAAUCCAACAGAGUAUAUGUAAUCUGAUUGUGGGUGUUUACUACUUGGGUGUCUCUGAGCUGUUCAAGUAUGUUCCUGCGUUAAUGCAGUUUUCUCAUAAGGUGUCUGUGAUGUUGCUGUUUUAUGUUAUCUGUGUUUACAUUCUGCUGUUAGGUCUUUCUGGUGUAAUUCGUUCUUCAUUGUAGGAUGGGUUUCCAUUCGGUGAACAAUCGUUAUGGAGUGUCUUACACCACUCGUCCAACUAUUGCUGUCACGACGAUCUUGGGCUAUAACAAUGCCAUGAUUGGUUUCGCCCACUAUCCAUGAUUGCUCAUGGUGAAAAUUGAAAAUUUUGUCCUAUGAUUUAUCACUUGCUGUUAACUUGGUUCUGUUUCUGUUACAUAUUCAAUAAAAUCACAAUCAAUUGAGGAAAAAAAAAAGGUUGUUUAUGUCCUUUUAGAAUCAAGAAUUCAAUUAAUCAAUUAUCUAUCAAGGAGAAAAAGAAGGUUGAGGAAAUUAACUACCUAAGAAUUAAAUGAUUUUUUUAAUUCCCAAAGAGUAUUCAUUAUUAUUAACAAUAUAAAUGGAUAAAGUAUCUACCUAACCUUAUUAAAACUUGAAAAAAUCAUAAAAUACUAUUCAAAAUUGAACAUUAAUAAUAUAUUACUCAAAUCUGUUUAAUACCCAAUUAAAUAAUUUGAACAAUAACUUAAAUAACAAAAAAUUAUAUAAAAAAUUAAUGUUAUAUGCAUUAGUUUACGAAAAAGAAAGUUGAUUAAGAUAGCAAAAAUUGUAUUGAAAGUAACAAAAAUGAAGAUCUAAAUCUUACAAAUUACAAAUUUUUGAAAUAUUAUAGUAAUAUUAAUAUAUAUGUACAAUCGAAUUCGAGUUUACAAUAUUUUAAUAAUAAUUUUUUAAACUUACCCCGAUCUUAAAAUAUUUUAAAACCGAAUCCAAGUCAAGUAUUAAAAAAAUUACUUGAGUUCACCCGACCCAAUUUAUCCUUUUGUCUUAUUAUCGUAGUCUUUAAAAGAUUGUAUAGAUCCAACACGAUCAUUUGGCCCACACAUGUGCUAUUUUGGGAAGAUUCAAUUCGAUCAAAAAGACUACUUUCGGACCACAAGAAAUUGUUGUUAGCGGCCAAAAAUUUACUCCUAGUCACAUUGUCCAAGUGCAUUUCCUGAAAACAAUAGUGAGAUAUGGCUUUCUUUUUAAUAUGUAGUUAAAUUAAAAUAAAUUUAAUUUAUUAAUAAAAAUUUAUUAUUUUAUUAAUAAUUAUAUAUCAAUUAAUAAAUUAAAUAUUUAAAUACAUUACAUAAUUUAACUAAAUGAAUAGAAUUUAGGCAUCUUGAUUUGACCCAAUCAAUUAGUACAAUUGAUUAAGAUAUUUUGAUUUGACCCAACCAAUUGAUACGAUUUAUUAAGAUCCAACCAAUUGACACUAUUUACGAGGACAUUUUGGAUUGAUCUAAGCACUUGGUACGUUUGAUUAAGACAUUUUACCUUUCAAAAAUGAGAUAUGAAAUUUCAUCGAUUUAACUUCAGACCUUGGCCAACCACACAUGUUUUUUUGUUGUUUUUGUUUUUUUUUUUAAAUAUAUUUAUUAAUGUGAAGAACUAGAAUCAGUAUGUCAUUUCAAAUUUUAACCCUCAUGACAUAAUUAAGGACUUAGUAUGGAUUUAUUGUGUUCUUUUUAACUAUGUAAUAUUAAAUAAGGUCUUUUGAACUGCUCCUUGUACGAUAAUAAUGGUGAAGUCCCAUUUGUCCCAGCCUAAUCCAACCUAAUUCAUAAGAUUUGUCGAGGAAAUGGCUUAGAACAAGACAGAAUUAAUGUCAGCUUUCAUUUGUUUCUAACCUAAUUUUUUCCUUGUCUAAUUAUUGUACUCUUCCACACAUGUACGAUUUUGGGAAGAUUAAAUUCGAUCAAAAAAGACUGCUUUCGAACCACAAGAAAUUGUUGUUAGGAGCCCAAAAUUUACUCUUAGCCACAUUAUCCAAGUGCAUUUUCUGAAAACAAUAGUGAGAUAUGGCUUUCCUUUUUAUAUGUAAAUUAGAUUACAUUUAAUUUACUAAUAAAGAGCUAUUAUUCUUUUGGCAAUAACAAAGUACUUAAAAUACUUAGCAUUCGUCAAUAUCAAUAUCACAUUAAUUGUAACCAUCAAGAGAAUCUUUAUUCCAAAAAAAAAAGAAGAAAAGGUGAGAAGAUUACAUUACUAUUGUUAGGAUUCUUCAGACUAAUAAUUUAAUCUUUUUUGCUUUUUAUUCGUGGGACCCAAAGGCUUCAAUUAUCUACUUGAUUGAAUUAGAUACAAUACAAGAUUGAAUUGGAACAAGAAAAAGGUGCCAAAUAUUUUUCUACAUUAUUCUUAUCCUUUAGGCCUCGACCAACCAGACAUUUUUUGUUUCUAUUGUGUUUUUUUUUUUUAAAGAAAAACAUAAUUAUUAAUGUCGAGAACAAGAACCAAUAUAUCAUUUUAAGUCUCUUAAUUGAUAGAAAAUUUUUCAUGACAUAAGCACUUAGUAUGGGUUUACUGUGUUCUUUUUAACUAUGUAAUAUUUCAUCUAUUUAACAAGGUCCUUUUAAAAUGCUCCUUGUAAGAUAAUAAUUGUGAUGUCCCAAUCGUCCCAGCCUCAUCCAACUACUCUACUGUUAUAUAUAGACGUAAUUCAUAAUAAUCUUAUAUCUCCCAAGUCUCACAUUUAACCUCCAUUUCCCCCAUAGUAUAGCAAUGGAUCUUUUUCAUCCAUUCCCACCAAUUCCAGUCGUAAUUGCAACUGUAUUUGCCUUUCCACUCUUUCUUUUCUCACUUCUAUGGAUAUCAAAGAGUGUCCAAAACAGAGACAAAAAGAGAGCAGCACCUCAAGCUGGCAGCUUAUGGCCUGUAAUCGGCCAUCUCCACCUCCUAGGAGGGCCGCAACCACCUCACAUAGUUCUCGGAGACAUGGCGGACAAAUACGGUCCUAUAUUCACCAUCAAGGUGGGUGCUUAUAGAGCUUUGGUUGUCAGCAACUGGGAAACUGCCAAAGAGUGCUUAACCACAAACGACAAAGCCUUUGCUUCUCGUCCGAAGACUCAUGCUAUAGACUUCUUGAGCUAUGACCACGCCAUGUUUGGCUUCGCUUCUUAUGGACCACACUGGCGCCAAAUGCGUAAAGUUGCCACUCUUGAGCUCCUCUCGAACUACAGGCUCGAUAUGCUCAAACAUGUCCGACGAUCUGAGAUAAAGACAUCCCUGAAAGAGUUAUUUCAACUCUGGAGCGAGAACAAAGACAGCUCUGAUAAGGUUUUGUUGGACAUGAAGGCAUGGUUUAGAGAUGUAACCCUUAACGUGAUGCUCAGGAUGAUUGUUGGGAAGCGAAUUCCGAGUUCCGGCAGUGAUGCUGAGGGCGAGAGAUGGAAAGACGCGUUGCAGGACUUCUUUGACUUGUGUGGGAAGUUUGUGAUAUCGGAUGCGUUGCCGUUUUUAAGAUGGUUGGACGUCGGGGGAGACGAGAAGUUCAUGAAGAAGGUAAGAAAAGAACUAGAUGAAGUUGCAGAGGGAUGGUUACAAGAUCACAAGAAAAAGACAGCUUCAGGUAAUCAGGAGAGCGAUCAAGAUUUUAUGGAUGUGAUGUUUUCAAUCCUCAGUACUGACGCUGGCAAGCAUGAUGCUGAAACCAUCAACAAAGCCAAUUGCCUGGUACGAAUUAGUGAAUUGUCACCCAAGCUUUUAUUUGCCUACCAUUGUUAGCACUUACUGAUUGAUCUAAGUUGUGGGCAAUCGUAACUCCAAAAGAAAAUAAAAUAGACGUCGAGGCUUUUACAGAUUUUAUUUAAAAUUUUUAGUUCUCGAUGUAAAAUUGUUUGUGCAAUUUCAUUAUGAUAUGGUAUAUAUCAACCUUUUUGCAGAAUUUGAUCUUAGCAGGCUUUGAUACAACAACGGUUACACUGACAUGGGCUUUGUCUUUACUACUUAACAACCGCGACGCACUGAAAAAAGCACAAGAAGAAUUAGACAUCCAUGUUGGUAGAGACAAACUAGUUGAGGAAUCAGACGUUAAAAAGUUAAUCUACCUUCAAGCCAUCGUCAAGGAAACGCUGCGUUUAUACCCUGCCGGACCACUUUCAGUGCCGCAUGAAUCCACGGAAGACUGCACCGUGAGUGGCUACCAUAUCCCCGCAGGCACACGACUUCUCAUCAAUCUUUACAAAAUUCAUCGUGAUCCACGUGUAUGGUCCGAUCCUUGUGAAUUUCAACCAGAAAGAUUCCUAACUACCUACAAAGAUUUUGAUGUGAGAGGCCAGAAUUUCGAGCUGAUCCCAUUUGGAAGCGGUAGAAGAAUGUGUCCUGGAGUUUCCUUUGCGCUCCAAGUGUUGGAGCUGACGCUAGCUAAUCUACUGCAAGGGUUCGAGUUAGGGACCCCUUUAGAUGAACUGGUUGAUAUGAGUGAGGCAAUAGGGAUGACAAACUUGAAGGCCUCUCCCCUCGAAGUCUUGAUUACUCCACGUCUUCCUGCUGUUUGUUAUUAGCUUGAAUGAUUAGCAACAAUAAAUGAAACUUCAGCUUAAUUACUUUUAGGCUAUUAAUGGCCACCAUACCCCUGCAGGCACAGAACUUUUCUUCAAUGCUUACAAAAAUCCAUCGUGAUUACAAGUUUCAACCACAAAGGUUUUUGACUACUUACAAAAAUUUUGAUGUAAGGUGUCAGGAUUUUGAGUCGAUACCAUUUAGUAGUGGUAGAAGAAUGUGCCCAGGAGUUCCCUCUGCGGUUCAGGUUAUGCCGCCUAUUUGCUCCAUGGGUUUGACAUAGCAACGCCAUUCGAUGAACCCUACCCAAACCAAGAAAAGCAAUCCGACAUGACACAAACCAUCAAAAUGCUGAGCCACCCACUGGCAAACGACAAAAUUUAAGACCGUCCCACUAGCUUUUCAAAUGUAGAAAAUCCAAGUGAUGUACAUAUAUAGAUAUAUAUGAUCUAGAUGAAAAUGACUUCAUUAGCAUAUCUCCUUUCAGCUAACUUCUAUUUAAUAUUCGAGUGAUGAGCCAUGUGUUGGCAAAUUGAUUUAACUGCAUUUAGUUAAGCCUCAUCUGAAUUAUAUAAGCAACUUAACUAUUUGGGAUGCCAGACUCAAAAGUUUUUUAUAUAUAAACAAAGAAGAUCUCAACCUUAAUCUAUUUGAUUCCAAUCAAAAUUAAAUAUUUCCCUCAAUACGCAACCUCCACUUUCUAAAUAAUGCUAUUAAUCUACUGUUUUUCAUUACAAUUAUUUGUUUAUUUUUUAAAAUAUCACGUAACAGUGAAUUUUUAUCAUACAAAAUCAAUCGAUUCUUAAAUGGAUCCAUUAUUAAUUCAUAAAUAAAAUUAUUAAAGUUUAACUAAUUAAAUAAGAUUAAUCAAAAUAGUGGAGAUAAGAGUCGAAUGGAGAUGAGAAUCGUGUGGUCGUGUGGUGGAAGGCAAAAACGAUACUAACUGUCAAACUAUCUUGUCUUUAGGUUUUGUCAUCUUCGUUCCAAGACCUCAAAUUACAGAAGUUAUCUUCAUUCCAAGACCUCAAAGUACAGAAGUAAGAGCUUUCAGCCAUGGAAACCCUCCUUCCAAGCCCUGCAAGUUGGAUGGCUGGCGUCUUUGCCUUUUUGAUCUUCUGCUAUUUGUUAUUUACGAGAGUGAUUAAUCGAACAGGCUCGGGCAUGAAGAGAAAAGCUCCGGAAGUGAGCGGUGGAAGGCCAUUUCUAGGCCACCUCCACCUGUUAGGAGGGUCAAAACCAGCCCACGUCGUUUUGGGUGACUUGGCUGACACAUAUGGACCGAUCUUCACCAUCAGGUUAGGCAUGCACCCAACUCUAGUCGUAAGCAAUUGGGAGAUUGCUAAAGAGUGUUUCACCACCAACGAUAAAGCAUUUGCCAACCGUCCAAGAACUCUAGCUGCAGAGCUCUUGGGCUACAAUUAUGCUAUGUUUGGUUUCAGCCCUUACGGCCCCUACUGGCGCCAAAUUCGCAAGAUAGCGACGCUCGAGGUACUGUCGAACCACCGCCUGGAGAAGCUCAAACAUAUACGAGAAUCCGAGGUUAGGACAUCGAUUAAAGAACUUUACGAGUUAGGGGUUGAGGGCGUAAGCAAUAGUAGUUCAGGAAAGGUGCUUGUGGAGAUGAAGAGAUGGUUUUGGACCUUAAACAUAAACAUGGUUUUCAAGAUGGUUGUAGGGAAGAGAUACUCUGAGGCUGAAACUUCGCACGGGAAAGACGAGAACGAUGGACGCAGAAAAGCCUUGAGGGAUUUCUUUGAACUGACGGGAACGUUCACGGUUGGGGACUCGCUGCCUUUCUUGAGGUGGUUGGAUCUAGGAGGACAUGAGAAGGCCAUGAAGAAGACGGCAAAAGAACUGGACCACAUCCUUGAGGAAUGGUUAGAGGAGCAUAAGCAGAAGAGAAAUUCAGGCAACGCGGAAAGUGAGCAUGACUUCAUGGGCAUGAUGUUGUCGCUUCUUAACGAUGCUGCAGAGCUCCCUAGCUAUGACGCUGAUACAAUCAACAAAGCCACAUGCCUGGUGAGUUCUUACCUAACUUUUGUUUCAGAAUCACAUCUUUUCCUGUUUGCUUUUCUGGUUAAUCACAAGACCACUCCAAUCAAGAUCCAACUCAAUUGUCCGACUAUAACCAGAACCGGGACCAAUCAAGGGUCCAUUUGUUUUGCAUUAAAAUAUUUUUAAAAAAUAUUUUUAAGACUUAUAUUUGUUUAGCAGACGAAAAAUUAAUUUUAGAUGUAAAAGAUUUUACGAAUCAAUAAAGUUAAUCAUAAAAAAUAUCUUACGCUAUUGAAAGACGUAAAACAUUUUUUAUAAAACAAUAAAAACACUUUUAUAUUAAGUUUAUGAGUAUAAGUUUGAUAAAUAUUAAUAUUUAAAUUAUACAAAAUAAUUAAAAUUAAAANUGAUGUUAAAUAUUUUUAAAAAAAUAUUUUAAGACUUAUAUUUGUUUAGCAGACGAAAAAUUAAUUUUAGAUGCAAAAUAUUUUACAAGUCAACAAGAGUUAAUUAUAGAAAAUGUCUUACACCCUGGAAGAGUGUAAAACAUUUUUCAGAAAACAACAAAAAUACUUUUAUAUUAAGUUUAUGAGUAUAAGUUUGAUAAAUAUUAAUAUUUAAAUUAAAAUAUCUAAAAUUGAAAAAUAAUAUUUUGAUGAAACCAUUUAAUACAAUUAAAUAUUUUAUUUAUAAAUAGAAUAAAUCUAACUAAUAAUUACAAUAAAAAAAAUUUCAAUGAUCAUCAUUUGAUGAAUACACAUUUAUAAUAAAUUUAAAUCUUACUAAUAAUUAUAAUAAAAUAUUUAAUAAUUAUUUUUUAAUGAAUACAUAUUUAUAAGUAUAAAUUUUAAAUAUCUUACACAAUUGAUGAAUAUUUAUAUUUUUAUAGCUAUGAUAAAAAAGUGAUAAGAUGGAAAUUUUUUGAAAAUUAGAGUUUAUUUUUAUUAUAGAUUUAUGGUUAAAUUUUUGAGAAAUAUCAUUAUUGAUUUUAUCCAUUUUCAUUUCCAUUCUUAAUUUUGAUCCCAAAUUAGUGAAUAUCAAAUAUCAAUAUUAUUUUUUAUUCAACUCUCAUUUAUUAUUUAACACCUAAAUAACUCCACCAUGAUGAAAAAUAUUUUUCACAAAAUGAUCUAAACAAUAGAAAAUGUUUUCGACAGUUGAUCUAAACAACAAAAAAUAUUAAAUUUCUCUGUAAAACAUUUUACCCAGAAAAAAUUUGUCUCUAGCAAGUCAUUUUUUGGUUACCAUACGGAUCCCAAAACUCAAAAACAGAACACAACCACAAGUCAAAGAAGUUACCAUCACAAACCAUGUGGCCAUAACAUUUGCUUAUACAGAAGAGAAGAACCCACUCACAAGUUAAUUACCUGCAAAAGAUUUCCCAGCUUUGGCAAGAGCAUCCGCCAGAUCGUUGGCAACUCGAGAAACCAAAUGCCCACUUGAGUUUUAGUACUUUCACUGCCUAGAAUUCCUUCAAUCAUGUCAUCUAACCUUUACUCACCGAGUAAUUCUUAUUUUGAUAAAAUCAAAUAAUUGAAAAAAUACCCAAACAUUUGACAUUGAACAACAUGUCAAAUCUACGAAGCCAAAUAAAUCAAAUGAUGAUGACAAAUAACACCAUAUAUAUUCUACUCGUCGCCUAUCUUGUUUGAAAAAGCAACGUUCCCUGUUGCACCACAACGAUUGAUUAACAUACAUUCAAUCUCUUGUUUUCACACCAAACAGAUGGUCAAGUUGCUAUCCAGUACUAACUCCUCUUUCAGGGACCACUUUAAUUUCCUUGAGGGAAUUAUUUAACACCAUUAAUCUUUUCCCCCUAAACAUACGGAAAAUUGUCGGCCAAGCUUCUUAAUUAACGUAUCUCAUCGUCCAAGCAAGGAUUGAAGAUAAAGCUAAAACUAGAUGGCUUCCAAAUUGCAUUCUAAAUCCCAUGAUAUAGAGUUUAAAUAUAAACUAAAUAUAUAUAUAUAUAUUUUUAAAUAUAAACUAUAUAGCACUACUCAAAUGAGCUGCAUGUUCAUCUAUGUCACAUAUAUAAUCUUUUUUGUGAAAAAAAAAAGUGCUAGUGUUCCAUGGAUGACCAUAUAGAAUAUAUUUUCUUUAUUUUCUUUUGUAACUUUUGUUUCAAUAAAUUUAUUCCACCUAAUCAUAAAACAAUAAUUUACUCAUCAAUAAUAAAUCUUGCUUUUGAAAAUAAUAGUAAUUUAGUACAUGCUUAGUCAGAAAGUAUAAAUAAUUUUUUUUAUAAAGGCUAUGGAAUGAUUGAGAUACAAAAAGUGACCAAACAAGUAACAUGAUUCAAAAAAAGAAUAGUUUAGUUGAACACGGAUCCAAUUUUUGCAUGCAUUAAUGUGGAAAACGCCUUGAAACUUCCUGGUAAUCACCCGAACUGCCCCAUUUGGUCUUUGUCACACAUCAAUAAGCUGUCACCUUAAGGUUCAAUAGUCCAUGGUGUGACUAUUUUAAUAGAAAGUCAUCAAUCUCACAUUAUUGAUGUAACAUCAUUUUUAAUUUGUUAAUCAUUUUUUAUGAGAUAAAAUUAUGAAACUUAAUGAUUCAAAAUAGAUAAUUUGAUUUUAGAUGUUUAACCUUUUUAUUGAGCCCAAAGGCCAAGUCAAAAUGUACCCCUUUUCAUAUCCACAGCCUAAAGGCAUUUAAUACUUCCUUUUUGGGCCAUUAUCAUUGGCAGGCUAUAAUUUUGGGUGGCACAGACACCACGACAGUGACUAUAACAUGGGCUCUAUCCUUACUACUCAACCACCACCAUGUCCUGGAAAAAGCCCAACAUGAAUUGGACACCUACGUUGGUAGAGAAAGGCCGGUGCAAGAAUCGGACGUCAAGAACUUGGUCUACCUCCAAGCCAUCAUCAAGGAAACAACUCGCUUGUACCCAGCUGCCCCACUCUCCGUGAUGCAUGAGUCCGUCGAGGACUGCACCACCGCCGGCUACUUAAUCCCGGCUGGAACACGCCUUCUAGUAAAUCUUUCCAAGCUUCAGCGUGAUCCGAAAGCCUGGUCCAAUCCGGACGAGUUUCGGCCUGAAAGGUUUCUCACAACCCACAAGCAUUUCGAGGUCAGGGGACAAAACUACGAAUUGGUUCCAUUUGGUAGCGGUCGAAGAGUGUGCCCUGGAAUUUCGUUUGCGCUUCAGGUUUUGCAGCUCAACCUUGCUAGUUUGCUACAAGCUUUUGAGAUCACAACCCCGUCGGAUGAGCCAGUCGACAUGGGUGAGGGAGCCGGUUUGACUAAUCUCAAAGCCACGCCACUCGAAGUCAGUCUCACCCCUCGCCUUCCUCCUCAUCUCUAUAAAUAAAUUCACAGCUGUUUUUCUCCAAAUAAUUUUGCUAGUUUACGAGCUGUUGGGCAUAUGAUAUUGCCUCUGCUCCUAGGAAUGAAACACUCUUGAUGUCGAACUUAAAUAGUUAUGCAGAAAUCCAUCGUGAUUACAAGUUUCAACCAGAAAGGUUUUUGACUAUUUACAAAAAUUUCGAUUUAAGGGGUCAGAAUUUUGAGUCGAUACCAUUUAGUAGUGGUCGAAGACUGUGCCCAGGAGCUCCCUCUGCGCUUCAGUUUAUGCAGCGAAUUUGCUGCAUGGGUUUGACAUAGCAACGCCCUUCCAUGAACUCUGUUGAUAUGCACGAGGCAAAUAUUUCAUGUUGGGCUUUGUGUACCAGCUUCGGUUUCGACGCCCAAACCAGCACUCAGACAUGACACGAACCACCAAAAUGCAGAGCCACCAUUGGCAUCACACUGACUUUUCAGGUAUGGAGAAUCCAAAUGAUGUAAAAACCAAUAUAUACAUGAUCUACAUGAAAAUGACUUGGGCAUUUCUCCUUUCAGUUAACUUCCAUUUAAUAUUCGAGUGAUGAGCAAUGUGCUGGCAAGCUGAUCAAUGAACUGCAUUUAGUUAAGUCUCAUGUGAAUCAUAAGCAACUUAAUAAUCUGGGGUUCCAGACUCAGAUAGUUUUUUAUUUUUUACAGAGACGAUUUCAACCCUUAAUUUAUUUGAUUCCACAGGAAAUACAUGCAUUCAAGACAAUUAAAUAUUUCCUUCAAUAGGUAGCCUCCACUUUCCAUUACAAUUAUUAUUCUCACUUGACGUACUAAUAAUUCUUUUUUUCAUUUUUAACAAAAUCGAUCAAUUCCUAAAUGGGUUAAUUAUACUUAUAUUAAGAAAAGGAAAGUAAUUGUGAACUUUAAACAGAUAAGAGUCGCAUGGUGGCAGGCAAAAACACUGUACAGUAUCACAGUGACAAUAUCUUUUGCAGCGUCGGUAACGUCGGUCACUAUAAAAAUACAUAAUUAGGUUGUUUUCAUCUUUAUUCCAUGGCCUCAAACUCCAGAAGUAAGAACUAUCAGCAAUGGAAACCCUCCUUCCAAGCCCUGCAAAUGGGAUGGCUGGCGUCUUUACCUUCUUCAUCUUCUGCUCAUUACAAAAAAUUUGGCUAUUUCCAACGGAAUUUUUCGUUGGAAAUAGGCAUUUUUUCAUUGAAAAUGUUUAUUUUCAACGAAAAAGUCUGUUAAAAUUCCAUCGGUACAAGUCUUGUGGGUAAUAUUUUCUAUUGAAAAUUUGAAAUUUUGCCAAUUUUUUUUAGAAAUCCAUUGGAAAAGAAAAUUUCAACAAAAAUUUUCCAACGAAAAUUUCUGUUGGAAAGCCUAUUUCCAACAGAAAAUCCAUUGAAAAUUUUCAACAGAAUUUUCGUUGGAAAUCCUAUUUCCAACAGAAAAAUCUAUUGAAAUUUUUUUCAUUGGAAAAAUUAUUUCCAACAGAAAUUUCCGUUGGAAAUGCUAUUUCCAACUGAAAAACAUUUUGGCAUUUCCAACGAAAAUUUCCGUGGGAAAUAAUUUUUCCAACAGAAAUUUCCGCUGAAAAUAACUUUUCCAACGGAAUUUUUCGUUGGAAAUAUUUUAACCUAUUAUUUUUAUAAUAAAUUUUCAGAAACAAUUAUCAAUUUUCAUUCCGAUACUAAAUUUAAUUAUGUAUUCGAACUGUAAAAUAUAUAAAAAAAUACAUUACAAAAUUAAGAUUCAAGUCCUAACAUCUAAUUAGAAAUUAUCCUUAACACAUAAUAUAUAAAAUAGUUUGAUACAUAUGAAUAUUAAACAUAACUAAAUUAAAAAGUAUCCAAGUGUUUGCACUGAAAAUUAUACAUCAUGUGAGGGAAUUUUUUUCUUACUUGUCAAGUCUUGAAGGUCCCGCAUCGUGAAUGGUUGAACGCGCAUUACUCAGGAACGUGGUUUUCAUACGUGCCAUAAAUUCACUCAUGCCUUCCGCCAUCACAUUUCUCAUUUCUUCACGUAUUUUUUCACGUAUUUCCUCACAUAUCUUAUUCAAAUUUUUCAUCAAUCUCAUUAACACAUCGAGAAAUGUUCGACGCAAAACCAUCUGGUAAUCUCAAUUGUUUAACCCAAGCACAAACAUUUCUUAUUUCCUCCUUAUUUAAUGUAUACGUAGCCUUAGGCUUGUACAGUUUUCUAUUAUUUUUUACCAAUUCCAAUUCUAGCCACUUGCAACACACUUUCAAAUCUUGUCAUGCUUUUAUGUUGUCCUUUGUCAUUCCUUUAACAUCUAUCACUGUGUUGAAUAUAUUCUCAAAAAAAUUAUGUUCAAUAUGCAUAACAUCUAAAUUGUGACGAAUAAGAAGUGUAUGCCAAUAAGGUAGAGCCUAAAAUAUAUUCUUCUUCACCCAAUUAUGACAAACACCAUAUCCUGAACUCUUUCGCUCACCACAUUUUGUUCCGAAUGGGAGAUGAGGAAGCGAAUUCAAACGUGUCAAUAUUUCUUCGCCUGAUAAUCGAGGAAAUGGUAAGUCAUGUUCAAAUCUUUUUUUAAUAAAUUUGUCUCUCUGCCUCCUAAAAGGAUGAUUAGCUGACAAAAAUUACCGAUGACGAUCAAAGAAACAAGGUUUCCUACCAUGUUCUAAUAUGAAAGAUUUAGAAUGUUUCAUGCAAUAUGGACAUGAUAAUCGUCCAUGUGUACUCCACCCUAAUAACAUACCAUAAGCAGGAAAAUCAUUAAUUGUCCACAAUAAUGUUGCCCUCAUAUGAAAAUUUUGUUUCCAAAGCCAACCUUAGCCUUUGACUGAAGUUAAAGCAAUGAAACGUUUAGUCUUGUAACCCUAAAUCAAAUAAUUAAAACACAAUAAAAUCAUUAAAAAUACCUAGGUCGCAUCAAUUGAUAAACUGAUAACCCUAAAAGUCAAAUAAACAAGAUAUACAAAAUUAACCCCUAGGGCAACUCUAUGUCAUCGGGUCGGGUACCCUAUAAUUUCGAAGUACCUGAACCCUAACCCUAUUAACUACCCGCAUAAUAACCCUAAUUACUUCCCUAACCCUAACCCUAUUACAUUUUUACUAUCCUAUAAUUACCCUAAUCCGUUUAAAAACCCGAUUAUAUUAACAACUUAUUAAAAUCUUCUUCAUAAAAUUUCUCAACGUAUACCCGAAUCCGUAUACAUAUACAAUAAUACGUGUUUACGUAUUUCAUAAAAUUAACUACUAAUUAAAUUAAUAAAAAUAAAAAUAAUAAAAUUUAAAAAGAAAUACAUGAAAACAAAAAUCUUAAAUAUAAACUUAAAUAACUAAAAACAAACAUCUGGGGAACCAGAAAACAGCAUUCCCACCAAAAGUCAAGUUUGAAAGUACUAAUUGCAAUCUGGGAUAAUGAAAAAGUCUCGAGUAAACUAAUGACAACAUCGACAUUAGCAUGUUCCAAUAAUUUUUAGGGUAUCAUUUUUCAAUAACAGACAGUACUAAUAUCAUUAAAAUAUUAACAGACAACAAUAGCAACACAUCAACUCCAAAAAACUGUCUGAAGCAGUCAAUAAACUAGUAUCAUUUUUCAAUAACAGACAGCACUAAUUGAAGCAAAAAAUCUUGUUUGCAUAACAAUUAUUAAGAAUGAAUCUAGUUUAACAAAAUCCUAUACCAAAAUCUCAUCUGGGGAAGAACAAGGGCGUGGGGCUUAGGGCGACACCGAGGCAGCCGGCAGGGCGUGGCUGUGGCUUGGUGGUUGGAGAGAAAAGAAAGCUGAACCGAUGAAGGAGCCAAGUGUGGCGUGGUAGGUCGGCAGCUAGGGAAGAACAAGGGCGUGGGGCUUGGGGAGACACCGAGGCUGCCGACAAGGCGUGGCUGUGGUUGUGGCUAUGGUUGGGUGGUUGGAGAGAAAAGAAAGCUGAACCGAUGAAGGAGCCGAGCUUGGCAUGGUAGGUCGGCAGUUGACGAGCGUGGCAUGGUAGGCUGGUAACUGGGGUCGGGGAAGAAAAAGGAGUCGACUGAGGGAGGCAAGGAGCGGCUAUCGAUUAGAAAAGAAGAAAGAAAGAAAAAAGAGGGGUUAGGGGUGGCUAAGGUUUUUUUUUUAUUCAUUUUUUCUUUUCUUUAACAUCAAUUACUAUUACAUAAACAUUUCACAUUUAGAUUAAUGUGCAAAAAACACAUUUUGUUAUAUAAAUUUUAUAAGUUUAUAAAUUAUCAUUUUUAUAAUAUUAAUAUAAAAUAAAAAAUAAAUAUNNNNNNNNNNNNNNNNNNNNNNNNNNNNNNNNNNNNNNNNNNNNNNNNNNNNNNNNNNNNNNNNNNNNNNNNNNNNNNNNNNNNNNNNNNNNNNNNNNNNNNNNNNNNNNNNNNNNNNNNNNNNNNNNNNNNNNNNNNNNNNNNNNNNNNNNNNNNNNNNNNNNNNNNNNNNNNNNNNNNNNNNNNNNNNNNNNNNNNNNNNNNNNNNNNNNNNNNNNNNNNNNNNNNNNNNNNNNNNNNNNNNNNNNNNNNNNNNNNNNNNNNNNNNNNNNNNNNNNNNNNNNNNNNNNNNNNNNNNNNNNNNNNNNNNNNNNNNNNNNNNNNNNNNNNNNNNNNNNNNNNNNNNNNNNNNNNNNNNNNNNNNNNNNNNNNNNNNNNNNNNNNNNNNNNNNNNNNNNNNNNNNNNNNNNNNNNNNNNNNNNNNNNNNNNNNNNNNNNNNNNNNNNNNNNNNNNNNNNNNNNNNNNNNNNNNNNNNNNNNNNNNNNNNNNNNNNNNNNNNNNNNNNNNNNNNNNNNNNNNNNNNNNNNNNNNNNNNNNNNNNNNNNNNNNNNNNNNNNNNNNNNNNNNNNNNNNNNNNNNNNNNNNNNNNNNNNNNNNNNNNNNNNNNNNNNNNNNNNNNNNNNNNNNNNNNNNNNNNNNNNNNNNNNNNNNNNNNNNNNNNNNNNNNNNNNNNNNNNNNNNNNNNNNNNNNNNNNNNNNNNNNNNNNNNNNNNNNNNNNNNNNNNNNNNNNNNNNNNNNNNNNNNNNNNNNNNNNNNNNNNNNNNNNNNNNNNNNNNNNNNNNNNNNNNNNNNNNNNNNNNNNNNNNNNNNNNNNNNNNNNNNNNNNNNNNNNNNNNNNNNNNNNNNNNNNNNNNAUAUAUAUAUAUAUAUAUAUUUAUAUAUAUUUUCUAUAGCUCUAGGUCAGAUUUGCAUGAAUACAUAGAUAUAAUAAAAUGAUAUUUUUUAAGCAAAAAUAUUAAUCAGUUUAAUAUAAAACUUCAAUCUUAAUUUAUAUAUAUUAGCUAAUUACAAUUAAAACGUAAAUAAAGUAAUAUAUAGUUUUAUAUGAUUUUUAUAUCUUAUCAUGGUUUUUUAUAAAAUAUAAAAUUUUACAUAGUUAUUUUUUUCAAUUUUGGAAUAAUAUAACAUUACCCUAAUAUGGUAUUAUUAAUCAAUAUUGUAUGAUUCAUUAAAGUUAAAAAAAUUAUACAAAAUUACUCAAAAGAAAACAUAUUUAAACUUUAAAAAAAUUUUACUUCAAUAACUAUGUAUUUGCUUUUAGUAAUAUCUAAUUUUUUAAAAAUAAUUAAUAAAAUUUAUAAAAAAUUUUAAAUUUUAUAAUUGAAAAAAUUAUGAUUAUUUCCAACGAAAAAUUCCGUUGGAAAGUUUAAAAAGUUAUAAACGCUUUAAUGCAUUAAAAAGUUACUUUCCAAUAGAAAAUUUCGUUGGAAAGUUACUUUUUUCAAUGCAUCAUUUACUCUUUAACUUUUUCAACGGAAUUUUUCGUUGAAAAUUCUGUUGGAAAAGUUAAAGAUUAUAUAAGAAAUGUUUAGGGUUCUAAUGAAAAAUUUCGUUGAAAAUCCGUUAGAAAUAAUUAAAAGUAAAACGUGUGUUCUGAAAAUAAAAUUUUCAACGAAAAAUUUUGUUGAAAAUUUCAUUGGAAACUAUCAAGAUUACACCCUUUUAGUUUUUAAGUUUAAAGUUUCAACGGAUUUUCAACGAAAAAUUUUGUUAAAAAUCCGUUAGAAAUAUAAAACAGUAAUAUGUGUGUGUUGUACAAGUCAAAUUUUCAAUGAAAUUUUUAACAAAAAUCUGUUGAAAAUCCGUUAAAAAUCAAUCGAAACAAGUAUUUAAAAAUUUUAAUUAAAUUUCGUUGAAAAUCCGUUGCAAAUUCGUUGCAAACGGAAAUUUCCAACGGAAUUUUUUCCGUUGGAAAUAUAAUGAUUUUUUGUAGUGGCUGUUUGUUAUUUACGAGAGUGAUUAAUCAGAAAAGCUCGAGCAUGACGAGAAAAGCUCCGGAAGUUAGCGGUGCAAGGCCUUUUCUAGGUCACCUCCAGCUGCUAGGAGGCUCAAAACCAGCCCAAGUCGUUUUGGGUGACUUGGCUGGCACAUACGGACCGAUCUUCACCAUCAGGCUAGUAAUGCAGUCAACUCUAGUCGUAAGCAAUUGGGAGAUUGCUAAAGAGUGUUUCACCACCAACCAUAAAGCAUUUGUCAAUCGUCCAAGAACUCUAGCUGCAGAGCUCUUGGGUUACAACUAUGCCAUGUUCGCCUUCAGCCCUUACGGCCCUUACUAGCGUAAUAUUCGCAAGAUAGCGACGCUCGAGGUAGUGUCGUACCACCGCCUCGAGAAGCUCAAACAUAUACGAGAAUCCGAGGUUAGGACCUCUAUUAAGGAACUUACGAUUUAGGGGUUAAAGGCAUAAGCAAUAGUAGUUCAAAAAAGGUGCUUGUGGAGAUGAAGAGAUGGUUUUGGACCUUAAACAUAAACAUGGUUUUGAAGAUGGUUAUAGGGAAGAGAUACUCUGAGGUUGAAGCUUCGCACGGGAAAGACGACAACGAUAGAUGCAGAAACGCCGUAAGGAAUUUUCUUGAGUUGACAGGAACGUUCACGGUUGGGGACUCGCUGCCUUUCUUGAGGUGGUUAGAUCUGGGAGGACAUGAGAAGGCCAUGAAGAAGACGGCAAAAGAACUAGACCAAAUCCUUGAAAAAUGGUUAGAGGAGCAUCAGCAGAAGAGAAAUUCAGGGAACGUGGAAGUGAGCAUGACUUCAUGGGCAUGAUGUUGUCGCUUCUUAAAGAUGCUGCAGAGCUCCCUAGCUAUGACUCUGAUACAAUCAACAAAGCCACGUGCCUGGUGAUUUUUACCUAACCUUUGCUCCAGAAUCACAUCUUUUCCUGUUUGUUUUUCUGGUUAAUCACAAGACCACUCCAAUCAUGAUCCAACUCAGUUGUCAGACUAAAACCAGAACCAGGAUCAAUCAAAACUCAAAAACAGAAAACUACCACAAGUCCAAGAAGUUACCAUCACAAACCAUGUGGCCAUAACAUUUGCUCAUACAGAAGAGACAAACCCACUCACUAGUUAAUUACCUACAAAAGAUUUCCCCAUUUCCCUCAUAGUAUAGCAAAUGGAUUUUCAUCUAUUCCCACCAAUUCCAGUCGUAAUUGCAACUGUAUUUGCCUUUCCACUCUUUCUUUUCUCACUUCUAUGGGUAUCAAAGAGUGUCAAAAACAGAGACAAAAAGAGAGUAGCACCUGAAGCUGGCAGCUCAUGGCCUGUAAUCGGCCAUCUCCACCUCUUAGGAGGGCCGCAACCUCCCCACAUAGUUCUCGGAGACAUGGCAGAGAAAUACGGUUCUAUCUUCACCAUCAAGAUGGGUGUUUAUAGAGCUUUGGUUGUCAACAAUUGGGAAACUGCCAAAGAGUGUUUAACCACAAACGACAAAGCCUUUGCCUCUCGUCCGAAGACUCUUGCUAUGGAGUUCUUGAGCU
This 20169-nucleotide long non-coding RNA is filed under the name Theobroma cacao (cacao). RNAcentral describes it as "long non-coding RNA (TCAC_LNC004689)". The record is from RNAcentral. Lineage: Eukaryota; Viridiplantae; Streptophyta; Magnoliopsida; Malvales; Malvaceae.